UACGAAGGGGGCUAGCGUUGCUCGGAAUCACUGGGCGUAAAGAGCACGUAGGCGGCUUUCUAAGUCAGGGGUGAAAUCCUGGAGCUCAACUCCAGAACUGCCUUUGAUACUGGAGAGCUUGAGUCCGGGAGAGGUGAGUGGAACUCCGAGUGUAGAGGUGAAAUUCGUAGAUAUUCGGAAGAACACCAGUGGCGAAGGCGGCUCACUGGCCCGGUACUGACGCUGAGGUGCGAAAGCGUGGGGAGCAAACAGG
RNAcentral lists this ribosomal RNA (253 nucleotides) under uncultured bacterium. RNAcentral describes it as "partial 16S ribosomal RNA". It matches the Rfam family "Bacterial small subunit ribosomal RNA", at positions 524 to 776 of the family's 1533-position model. The record is from RNAcentral.